GCUCGAGAGAUGGCUCAGCGGUUAAGAGCAUCGACUGUUCUUCCAUGGGUCCUGAGUUCAAUUCCCAGCAACAGCA
RNAcentral lists this transfer RNA (76 nucleotides) under Mus musculus (house mouse). RNAcentral's name for it is "tRNA-Asn". The record is from RNAcentral. Lineage: Eukaryota; Metazoa; Chordata; Mammalia; Rodentia; Muridae.